GAUGAACGCUGGCGGCGAGCCUAAUACAUGCAAGUCGAGCGAACCACUUCGGUGGUGAGCGGCGAACGGGUGAGUAACACGUAGGUGAUCUGCCCAUCAGACGGGGACAACGAUUGGAAACGAUCGCUAAUACCGGAUAGGACGAAAGUUUAAAGGUGCUUCUGGCACCGCUGAUGGAUGAGCCUGCGGCGCAUUAGCUAGUUGGUAGGGUAAAGGCCUACCAAGGCGACGAUGCGUAGCCGACCUGAGAGGGUGAACGGCCACACUGGGACUGAGACACGGCCCAGACUCCUACGGGAGGCGGCAGUAGGGAAUCUUCGGCAAUGGGCGAAAGCCUGACCGAGCAACGCCGCGUGAAUGAUGAAGGCCUUCGGGUUGUAAAAUUCUGUUAUAAGGGAAGAACGACUUUAGUAGGAAAUGGCUAGAGUGUGACGGUACCUUAUGAGAAAGCCACGGCUAACUACGUGCCAGCAGCCGCCGUAA
Molecule: ribosomal RNA, 483 nt
Filed under: uncultured bacterium
Lineage: Bacteria
Description: partial 16S ribosomal RNA
Rfam family: Bacterial small subunit ribosomal RNA
Source: RNAcentral